This is a long non-coding RNA of Centruroides sculpturatus (bark scorpion), 2216 nucleotides long. RefSeq lists it as uncharacterized. NCBI's taxonomy places the organism in Eukaryota, Metazoa, Arthropoda, Arachnida, Scorpiones, Buthidae. The record is from RefSeq and is a predicted model, not a curated record. The transcript has 6 exons.
UUUAAUAAUUGAUUUUAAAAAUCGACAUCCACAAAUUAUUAUUUACUUUAACAAAUUAAGUGCUGUGUUUUAGCACAUGAUGCUUAAUGAAUUAAUGUGCAAACAUCCAGCAAUUAACCCAGGUCAUGUUUUGCAUUUCUGCUACACAUUUAAAUAUGCUGUGUAACUUCAGAGCAACUGGCCAGCCUUAUAAAUGUAAUGGAAAUUGUGAGAAUUGGAAUGGAUAUUAUAUAAUUAAACAUUACAAUGUAGAAUUUAAUAAAUCUAUUUAGAAAACCCCUAAUCUGGAUCAUAUUCCAAGACAUUUUCCUCGUCUUUCGAUGGAGAGAAAAUAGAAGUGCUGUUUUAAAAGGUAGCAAAAAAUUUUCUCUCUUUUCAAAUCUUUAUUCAAUUAGUGUGAGAAAAUAUAUAGAUCUUGUUGUCUUCAUUAAUGGAACCACAUCCAUCACUUUUGUGCCAAAAGGGGAAAUCAACUUCCCUUUCACGCAUUCUUAUCUCCAACUUCAAUAACCAUUUCUUUAUGUAUCGAUUAUUAUUUUCUUUUACAUUUUGUCUUCAUUAAAUUUUGUUUCAUUUGAUUAAAAACUGUCUCAUUAUUGAACUCAAUUCAAUGCAGUCCUAUCAUGGGUCUACGAUCCCCCCUCUCGGAAAAGUACUUCCUGUCCCCCAAAUCAAAAACAACUAAAAGCCCAACCUAGUGACCCUGUGGGCAGAUCUUCCUGAUCAGAUGCCAAACAAAAUUCCCACAAAAUAGUUUGAAAAUGGCCUAUAUGAAUGGAAAUUUCACUUUGCUAUGAUAGAAUUCUAAUAGAAAUUUUUUCUCUAUAAAAUGAGAAAUAUGCAAUGUUUUUCUUGCACAAUGAACAUGGAUAGGUACAACAAUAUCAUGAAAAUAUAAAACAUUUGUAUUCCAUUCUACAACAUGUCUAAAAAUCAAGGAAAAUGUAAAUCUUAAAAUAGAACAAAUUAGAUUGCUUAUAUUUAUUGGAAUAUUAAAGUUUGUUAUAUCUAAAAUAACUUCAUAAAAGUGAUAAUACACUGAUUUAUUGUGUAAUAAUUGUUUUUGAUUUAACUUAUCCUGUAAUAUUUGCAUUACAUGAUGACACAGUUAUGUCUCUUCACAUCUGACUUAAGUUGAAGACUCCCCUUGGCUGUCUGAUAUAUUUAUCUUAAUAUGUACUGAAUAGUACUUACAUUUGGAAUACUGAAAGUUAAAAUUACUUUUUUUUUCCUAGGUUUGCCAUUAAUUAAAAAUUGAAAUUUUUGCCAUUUCAUAAUGGUUUAUCAAGUUAUCCCAUUGACAUAAAUAUGGAGCCCACAUUUGUAUUAUGGGCCGGAUACAAGGAAUGUUUUUAUGCCUCAAGAAUGUUGCAAUGUCCACAAGGAUUUUGAUAAGCACUUCAGAAUAAUAAAUGGUAAAUUUGCUGAAACCAGAAAUACAAAAUGCCUGUAAUAAAAGUCCAAAGUACGAAGGAGAAUAAAUCAACAUAAAACGGGAAAACUGAUAUCAUUUUUAUUGCAACAAGAUAUUGUCAUGGUGAACAAAUUCAUCAAAGCUAGAAAGAGUGGGGAAACAGUUCUGUGGGACAAAUAAAGAUGAAAGAACAGUGUAAUCUGUAACAGGAUUUUGUGAGGUCACAGAUAUGCCCAUAAUAUCAGGAUAUCCAAACAGUUCUGAAUUGUAAUUGGGUGUGUUUGGUACAGAGACAAACUCCACAGUUACUAAAUAAUUGUCCUGAUUUAUUGUAACUUAAAAAUAAGCUUACAGCUACAACUGUCGACAAUAUCAGAUCUUCCAAUUUGUUUUUCUCUGAAAGUGCGAAUGUCCUGCUAGAACUAUCUUUCUGGAUCUCUUGGGAAGUCUGCGGUCCUGGGCGUUGAUUGGAGAAAAUCUAUUGGGGGGGACAGGGUAAUCUGGUUUAAUGUCAUGAUGUAGAGAUUUUUAACUGAGGAUGGUUCUGUGCAAUAGGAAGGCAGGGAAUAGAAGCUCCCUGUGGUCUUGAUACAUAUUUUUAUAAUUUUUCGGUUACCAGAUUGAACACUUUGAUUGGUCUUUUAACAUUAAUAGUUUUAUAAAAUUAUUUUAUAAAUUGCCUUUUACAUUUUUGUGUGGUUCAACUACACUUCCAGAGCUUCACAAUUGGACAAUGUUUAGCGACCUAACUUUAGUAUAAAUGUAUCGGAUAUUUUCUAUAAAUAAAUAAAUUUUGUUGUAA